AUGCAGCCAUGCCGCGUGUGUGAAGAAGGCCUUCGGGUUGUAAAGCACUUUCAGUAGGGAGGAAGGUAGUGUAGUUAACACCUGCACUAUUUGACGUUACCUACAGAAGAAGCACCGGCUAACUCCGUGCCAGCAGCCGCGGUAAUACGGAGGGUGCGAGCGUUUAAUCGGAAUUACUGGGGCGUAAAGCGCAUGCAGGCGGCCUGUUAAGUCAGAUGUGAAAGCCCGGGGCUUAACCUCGGAAUUGCAUUUUGAAACUGGCAGGCUAGAGUCUUGUAGGAGGGGGUAGAAUUUCAGGUGUAGCGGUGAAAUGCGUAGAGAUCUGAAGGAAUACCAGUGGCGAAGGCGGCCCCCCUGGACAAAGACUGACGCUCAGAUGCGAAAGCGUGGGGAGCAAACAGGAUUAGAUACCCCUGGUAA
Molecule: ribosomal RNA, 420 nt
Filed under: uncultured bacterium
Lineage: Bacteria
Description: bacterial SSU rRNA
Rfam family: Bacterial small subunit ribosomal RNA
Source: RNAcentral